Molecule: long non-coding RNA, 433 nt
Filed under: Manihot esculenta (cassava)
Lineage: Eukaryota; Viridiplantae; Streptophyta; Magnoliopsida; Malpighiales; Euphorbiaceae
Description: long non-coding RNA (MESC_LNC008311)
Source: RNAcentral
UCUAGCUAAUAGCUACCUCUCUUCUAGCUAAUAAACUUAUUAUUUAUGCAUCUAUCUACUUUAUGUACUUUAGCUCUUUGUGGCAUCUGCUAGUUUAUUAUUGCUUCUUAUGUAUGGAAUCCCUGUCAGGAAAUGAAUGGCUGCAAAUUCCGUACCAGUUUUCUUCUGCUCAACAUUGUCUGUAAGUGCUCUUCUAUCUCUUUCUUCUGAUUCUUCAUUUAUUUAUUAUUUCUAGUUACUUGCUUCUAAUCUUUUUGUUUCUAUCUCUGCAACUGUGUUGGUGCUUUCAUGAGUAUUCCUCCAACACAAAAAGAGGGGAAAUGCAAAAAGCUUUCUUUCUAAUAUGGUUUAAUUUCUUUUUCUUUUCUUGGUUAUUUCCCCCUUAAUUAAGAAAUAAUUGCGUUUUCAGAUUGCUGCUUUUUGCGGGUUNNNN